CCAGCCAUAGCUCAGUUGGUAGAGCGGAAGACUGUAGUUGUAUAAUAGCCAUCUUUAGGUCGCUGGUUCGAAUCCGGCUGGCUGGA
Molecule: non-coding RNA, 86 nt
Organism: Asterophora parasitica
Lineage: Eukaryota; Fungi; Basidiomycota; Agaricomycetes; Agaricales; Lyophyllaceae
Source: the annotation of a GenBank genome assembly